GACGGGUAGCCGGCCUGAGAGGGUGACCGGCCACACUGGGACUGAGACACGGCCAGACCUACGGGAGGCAGCAGUGGGGAAUAUUGCACAAUGGGCGAAAGCCUGAUGCAGCAACGCCGCGUGAGGGAUGACGGCCUUCGGGUUGUAAACCUCUUUUAGCAGGGACGAAGCGAAAGUGACGGUACCUGCAGAAAAAGCGCCGGCUAACUACGUGCCAGCAGCCGCGGUAAUACGUAGGGCGCAAGCGUUAUCCGGAAUUAUUGGGCGUAAAGAGCUCGUAGGCGGUUUGUCGCGUCUGCUGUGAAAUCCCGAGGCUCAACCUCGGGCCUGCAGUGGGUACGGGCAGACUAGAGUGCGGUAGGGGAGAUGGGAAUU
This 375-nucleotide ribosomal RNA is filed under the name uncultured bacterium. Its description in RNAcentral is "bacterial SSU rRNA". It matches the Rfam family "Bacterial small subunit ribosomal RNA", at positions 278 to 668 of the family's 1533-position model. The record is from RNAcentral.